GGCUACGGCAUACCACCCUGAACACGCCUGAUCUCAUCUGAUCUCGGAAGCUAAGCAGGGUCGGGCCUAGUUAGUACUUGGAUGGGAGAAAGAAUGUUAAGGCUGGGCCAUAGAAGUCA
Molecule: ribosomal RNA, 119 nt
Organism: Erinaceus europaeus (western European hedgehog)
Lineage: Eukaryota; Metazoa; Chordata; Mammalia; Eulipotyphla; Erinaceidae
Source: Ensembl